AAGGACUGCUCCUUGAUUUAGCGGCGGACGGGUGAGUAAUGCCUAGGAAUCUGCCUGGUAGUGGGGGAUAACGUUCCGAAAGGAAACGCUAAUACCGCAUACGUCCUACGGGAGAAAGCAGGGGACCUUCGGGCCUUGCGCUAUCAGAUGAGCCUAGGUCGGAUUAGCUAGUUGGUGAGGUAAUGGCUCACCAAGGCGACGAUCCGUAACUGGUCUGAGAGGAUGAUCAGUCACACUGGAACUGAGACACGGUCCAGACUCCUACGGGAGGCAGCAGUGGGGAAUAUUGGACAAUGGGCGAAAGCCUGAUCCAGCCAUGCCGCGUGUGUGAAGAAGGUCUUCGGAUUGUAAAGCACUUUAAGUUGGGGAGGAAGGGCA
This 378-nucleotide ribosomal RNA is filed under the name Pseudomonas sp. UMB 2. RNAcentral describes it as "bacterial SSU rRNA". It matches the Rfam family "Bacterial small subunit ribosomal RNA", at positions 74 to 455 of the family's 1533-position model. Lineage: Bacteria; Pseudomonadati; Pseudomonadota; Gammaproteobacteria; Pseudomonadales; Pseudomonadaceae. The record is from RNAcentral.